RNAcentral lists this ribosomal RNA (891 nucleotides) under Escherichia coli. RNAcentral's name for it is "partial 23S ribosomal RNA". It matches the Rfam family "Bacterial large subunit ribosomal RNA", at positions 2052 to 2925 of the family's 2925-position model. Lineage: Bacteria; Pseudomonadati; Pseudomonadota; Gammaproteobacteria; Enterobacterales; Enterobacteriaceae. The record is from RNAcentral.
UGUGAAGAUGCAGUGUACCCGCGGCAAGACGGAAAGACCCCGUGAACCUUUACUAUAGCUUGACACUGAACAUUGAGCCUUGAUGUGUAGGAUAGGUGGGAGGCUUUGAAGUGUGGACGCCAGUCUGCAUGGAGCCGACCUUGAAAUACCACCCUUUAAUGUUUGAUGUUCUAACGUUGGCCCGUAAUCCGGGUUGCGGACAGUGUCUGGUGGGUAGUUUGACUGGGGCGGUCUCCUCCUAAAGAGUAACGGAGGAGCACGAAGGUUGGCUAAUCCUGGUCGGACAUCAGGAGGUUAGUGCAAUGGCAUAAGCCAGCUUGACUGCGAGCGUGACGGCGCGAGCAGGUGCGAAAGCAGGUCAUAGUGAUCCGGUGGUUCUGAAUGGAAGGGCCAUCGCUCAACGGAUAAAAGGUACUCCGGGGAUAACAGGCUGAUACCGCCCAAGAGUUCAUAUCGACGGCGGUGUUUGGCACCUCGAUGUCGGCUCAUCACAUCCUGGGGCUGAAGUAGGUCCCAAGGGUAUGGCUGUUCGCCAUUUAAAGUGGUACGCGAGCUGGGUUUAGAACGUCGUGAGACAGUUCGGUCCCUAUCUGCCGUGGGCGCUGGAGAACUGAGGGGGGCUGCUCCUAGUACGAGAGGACCGGAGUGGACGCAUCACUGGUGUUCGGGUUGUCAUGCCAAUGGCACUGCCCGGUAGCUAAAUGCGGAAGAGAUAAGUGCUGAAAGCAUCUAAGCACGAAACUUGCCCCGAGAUGAGUUCUCCCUGACUCCUUGAGAGUCCUGAAGGAACGUUGAAGACGACGACGUUGAUAGGCCGGGUGUGUAAGCGCAGCGAUGCGUUGAGCUAACCGGUACUAAUGAACCGUGAGGCUUAACCUUACAACGCCGAAG